RNAcentral lists this ribosomal RNA (253 nucleotides) under uncultured bacterium. Its description in RNAcentral is "partial 16S ribosomal RNA". It matches the Rfam family "Bacterial small subunit ribosomal RNA", at positions 524 to 776 of the family's 1533-position model. The record is from RNAcentral.
UACGUAGGGUGCGAGCGUUGUCCGGAAUUAUUGGGCGUAAAGAGCUCGUAGGCGGCCUGUUGCGUCUGCUGUGAAAGCCCGGGGCUUAACCCCGGGUCUGCAGUGGAUACGGGCAGGCUAGAGUUCGGCAGGGGAGACUGGAAUUCCUGGUGUAGCGGUGAAAUGCGCAGAUAUCAGGAGGAACACCGGUGGCGAAGGCGGGAUCCUGGGCCAGUACUGACGCUGAGGAGCGAAAGCGUGGGGAGCAAACAGG